UACGUGAGGUGCAAGCGUUGUUCGGAAUUAUUGGGCGUAAAGCGCACGUAGGCGGGGUUGUGUGUCGAUUGUGAAAGCCCGGGGCUUAACCCCGGAAUUGCAGUCGAAACUGCAGCUCUUGAAUACUUGAGAGGGUGGGGGAAUUCCUGGUGAAGCAGUGAAAUGCGUAGAUAUCAGGAGGAACAUCGGAGGCGAAGGCGCCUACCUGGCAAGAUAUUGACGCUGAGGUGCGAAAGCGUGGGGAGCAAACAGG
This 253-nucleotide ribosomal RNA is filed under the name uncultured bacterium. Its description in RNAcentral is "partial 16S ribosomal RNA". It matches the Rfam family "Bacterial small subunit ribosomal RNA", at positions 524 to 776 of the family's 1533-position model. The record is from RNAcentral.